ACAUGGUCAUGCAUCCAAAAUGUUUAUUUUUAACAAAAUAAACACUUUAAAAAUAAUAAUUAGCACUUUUUUUUAUUCAGCCUCAUAUGUCAGCCUCAUAUGGCUGUUGCUGCUGCUGCUGCUGGAGGAGGCUGCUGCUGCUGAAGGAGGGUGCUGCUGCUGGAGGAGGGUGCUGCUGCUGAAGGAGGGUGCUGCUGCUGGAGGAGGGUGCUGCUGCUGGAGGGUGCUGCUGCUGAAGGAGGCUGGUGCUGGCAACGGCUGCAGGUGAUGACUGCUGAAAGAAGAGGAGGCUGGAGGCUGCUGACGGUGGACCGGGAAUGGAGAUGCCAAGUACAUCGAUGGCAACGAGUAAGGUGUUUGGCAGUGGCCUAGAUGUUAUGACCUUCGGUGCAGAGGUCAUGGCAUGAGGGAAGGUUGCUGUCCAGCAACAUGGCUUCUUGUGCCAGCUGUGACACUGCAUUUGAGGACUCCAUGAGGGAAUCGCUCGUCCUCACACGGAACAGCUGCUCCACGUUCUGAACAAGGGUGAAAACCUCAUCAGAUGGACGGUAAAGUGCACCCCUUUUAAAUUAUUUUAAUACCAGCAGACCAGCUCUCUCAUUUUCACCAUCACUGACAUUUUUCACUAGGGCACACUGGCAUUUGUCACAAAGUGAGAAGCUGAUGACCCUUUUCACGAUGUAUCCUGCAAGGUGGUAUAGCACACAGGACUCAGUUUUAGUGAUGUCAGGUGGUGUUGUCAGGUCUACUAGCUGCUCCACUCUCAGAACGUCAGGAGGACUGCAGCUGCUGUUCUGCAUGUCCAGGAAGUGUGCCAAGUGGUCUGAUCCAUCCUCCACGUAACUGCCAGUAUGCACUGGCAAUAGGAACUGGCCCACAGUGACAGCGCGCAGAGCAUAUUGGAACUCUACAGGUGUUGGGACAGAGUUCCUCAGACGAAUGGACGAAAAUGUGUUUUCCAGGCAGUCUUGAGUGAAGCGGCUUGUGAGAACAAAUUUGUGCCCUUGUCUCAACAGGUCAUGCUGGACCUCCAGGAUUGUUGUUGUGGCCAUCAUCAGUCCUGUCUGGACUUCCAGCUGCCCUUGGGACCGAUCUUCAGGCCCCGAAACAGAUGGAUGGAGUCCCGGAGGAAGCUGAUGGCCUUAUCAUACUCCUCCAUCUUGAAAUGACUUAGGGGAGUAACAGUGUUGCGUGACGACAUGAGGUCAAACCAGUGGUCCACCGUCUCCAAAAACCACGCAGUGGUAAGGUAGGACUCUGGUCUGUGCUCCUCUGCCACCAUGUACCUCAGGGCAGCACUCGAUGACUCCACACUUCAAAUGUCAUUGAAGAGUCAUAAUUCUCUACACUUGGAAAUAUGAUGCCCUUUAAAAUGUUAACAAGUCAUGUCACCUCUGUGAACAUUACUUACAUGACAGUUUUCUGCUGUUGUUGUUGUCCUCUGUCAGACACAGGUUUUGUCUGUUGACCAUUGCCAUCCAUCUCUUCCUUCGCUCUAUGUCCUUAGAGAAGCCAUACAUCCGGAACCCCUUCUCGGAUCGAUUAGAGCAUCCAAAUGCUGCACAUCCAACCAUGGGCCCAGGAAACAGAUGAAGAGGAUGAACCUUUCACAAAGGAACCUUUUUAUUUUUUUCAAAAUGGUUAGGAUGCCCGAGAGUUCUGUAUUGCUUUUUUGUAAAUAGUUGCUUACCCUAACCCUUUUUUGUAAAUAGUGGCUUACCCU
This is a long non-coding RNA of Gymnodraco acuticeps, 1723 nucleotides long. RefSeq lists it as uncharacterized. The record is from RefSeq and is a predicted model, not a curated record. Lineage: Eukaryota; Metazoa; Chordata; Actinopteri; Perciformes; Bathydraconidae. The transcript is spliced from 3 exons.